GGGGCAUAUUAUAGCUGUCUAUACUAUGUAUGUUUUGCACAUUGUAUAAUUCUUAUGUUUAACGUGAUAGUUAUAGUUAUCUCUAUUUUUAAAAAGGACUGUUUAACUACCUUUAUUUAUUUUUUUCCGUUUUUUUACUGUGCAGUUAUAACAACACUGAGAAGGCUGUGUUUGAUAUAAAAUGUAUCUUUCUAUCACUUUUAAUUUGUUCUGAAUA
This 217-nucleotide long non-coding RNA is filed under the name Mytilus galloprovincialis (Mediterranean mussel). Lineage: Eukaryota; Metazoa; Mollusca; Bivalvia; Mytilida; Mytilidae. The record is from RNAcentral.